GGGGGUGAACGGCAUCGACGGUGCUGCCGACGUCAGGCUGCAGGCGGAGCUCGCCAUCUCCGGAAACUGGCGAACCAAACAAUAACUGCGGAUUACGCAUUCGCUGCUCCUUCCCUGAACUAGGGAGGGCCGCCCGGUGGAGUUCCCCGUCGACUCCGCCGUGGCGUCACGAAGGCGGGUACGCCGUCCCACGCGCUUCCCGUAGGGACGGAAGAGAUCCACGGAGGCUGGGUGCACGACAUCCUGCACGCGAGAGGUCAUGCAUCGAGAUCAAACCGCGUGACUAAGCCUGUAGACGCCGAGCGAACGCAGUUCCGGACGCGGGUUCGAUUCCCGCCACCUCCACCA
Molecule: transfer-messenger RNA, 348 nt
Filed under: Candidatus Bipolaricaulota bacterium
Lineage: Bacteria; Candidatus Bipolaricaulota
Also listed under: 1 other name
Rfam family: transfer-messenger RNA
About the family: Bacterial tmRNA, also known as 10Sa RNA or SsrA, is named for its dual tRNA and mRNA-like properties. Its role is to liberate the mRNA from a stalled ribosome. To accomplish this part of the tmRNA is used as a reading frame that ends in a translation stop signal.
Source: RNAcentral